CCUACGGGAGGCAGCAGUGGGGAAUAUUGCACAAUGGGCGAAAGCCUGAUGCGGCAACGCCGCGUGAGCGAUGAAGGCCUUUGGGUCGUAAAGCUCUGUCCUUGGGGAAGAAAAAAAUGACGGUACCCUUGGAGGAAGCCCCGGCUAACUACGUGCCAGCAGCCGCGGUAAU
This 172-nucleotide ribosomal RNA is filed under the name uncultured bacterium. Its description in RNAcentral is "partial 16S ribosomal RNA". It matches the Rfam family "Bacterial small subunit ribosomal RNA", at positions 338 to 524 of the family's 1533-position model. The record is from RNAcentral.